GAUGAACGCUGGCGGCGUGCCUAAUACAUGCAAGUCGAGCGAACAGACGAGGAGCUUGCUCCCCUGACGUUAGCGGCGGACGGGUGAGUAACACGUGGAUCACCUUCCUAUAAUACUGGGAUAACUUCGGGAAACAGGAGCUAAUACCGGAUAAUAUAUUGAACCGCAUGGUUCAAUAGUGCAUGACGGUUUUGCUGUCUCUUAUAGACGGAUCCGCGCCGCAUUAGCUAGUUGGUAAGGUAACGGCUUACCAAGGCAACGAUGCGUAGCCGACCUGAGAGGGUGAUCGGCCACACUGGAACUGAGACACGGUCCAGACUCCUACGGGAGGCAGCAGUAGGGAAUCUUCCGCAAUGGGCGAAAGCCUGACGGAGCAACGCCGCGUGAGUGAUGAAGGUCUUCGGAUCGUAAAACUCUGUUAUUAGGGAAGAACAAAUGUGUAAGUAACUAUGCACGUCUUGACGGUACCUAAUCAGAAAGCCACGGCUAACUACGUG
Molecule: ribosomal RNA, 497 nt
Filed under: uncultured bacterium
Lineage: Bacteria
Description: partial 16S ribosomal RNA
Rfam family: Bacterial small subunit ribosomal RNA
Source: RNAcentral